UCGAACGGACUCUUACUGAAACCUAGUGAUUUAUGAGUUAGUGGCGGACGGGUGAGUAACGCGUGGAUAACCUGCCGUAUACCGGGGGAUAACACUUAGAAAUAGGUGCUAAUACCGCAUGAGCGCACAGCUCCGCAUGGGGCGGUGUGAAAAACUCCGGUGGUAUACGAUGGAUCCGCGUCUGAUUAGCCAGUUGGCGGGGUAACGGCCCACCAAAGCGACGAUCAGUAGCCGGCCUGAGAGGGUGAACGGCCACAUUGGGACUGAGACACGGCCCAGACUCCUACGGGAGGCAGCAGUGGGGAAUAUUGCACAAUGGGGGAAACCCUGAUGCAGCGACGCCGCGUGAGUGAAGAAGUAUCUCGGUAUGUAAAGCUCUAUCAGCAGGAAAGAUAAUGACGGUACCUGACCAAGAAGCCCCGGCUAACUACGUGCCAGCAGCCGCGGUAAUACGUAGGGGGCAAGCGUUAUCCGGAUUUACUGGGUGUAAAGGGAGCGUAGACGGCAGCGCAAGUCUGGAGUGAAAUGCCGGGGCCCAACCCCGGAACUGCUUUGGAAACUGUGCGGCUCGAGUGCGGGAGAGGUAGGCGGAAUUCCUAGUGUAGCGGUGAAAUGCGUAGAUAUUAGGAGGAACACCAGUGGCGAAGGCGGCUUACUGGACCGUAACUGACGUUGAGGCUCGAAAGCGUGGGGAGCA
This 697-nucleotide ribosomal RNA is filed under the name uncultured bacterium. Its description in RNAcentral is "bacterial SSU rRNA". It matches the Rfam family "Bacterial small subunit ribosomal RNA", at positions 62 to 770 of the family's 1533-position model. The record is from RNAcentral.